AACACUGUUAACCUGCGGUACCUGCGGAAGGAUCAUUACUGAGUAACGUGGUCAUUUGACCCGCUACCCGCCCUAUGUCAUAUGUUGGACGAGGUCGUCUUUAGGGCGGCCUCCGACCCCACUUCCCGGGAAGCGUUGCGCCUCAUCAGGUCUAGGCCUUGAUGGGGAUUUGGGACCGCCCGGGGUCUUUUUCAACCCUUUGUGACAAAUCUGAAGUCUGAAGCGAAAGCUUAAAACAAA
RNAcentral lists this unclassified non-coding RNA (240 nucleotides) under soil metagenome. RNAcentral describes it as "partial contains 5.8S ribosomal RNA, internal transcribed spacer 2, and large subunit ribosomal RNA". The record is from RNAcentral.